This 45-nucleotide non-coding RNA is filed under the name Schistosoma mattheei. The record is from RNAcentral. Lineage: Eukaryota; Metazoa; Platyhelminthes; Trematoda; Strigeidida; Schistosomatidae.
ACGCAGCUGACGAGUCCCAAAUAGGACGAAACACGCGUCUUAGAU